UACGUAGGGGGCAAGCGUUGUCCGGAUUUACUGGGCGUAAGGAGCGUGUAGGCGACCUCACAGGUCCGUUGUGAAAACUGAAGGCUUAACCUUCAGACGUCGACGGAAACCGUGUGGCUAGAGUCCGGAAGAGGAGAGUGGAAUUCCUGGUGUAGCGGUGAAAUGCGCAGAUAUCAGGAAGAACACCAAUGGCGAAGGCAGCUCUCGGGGACGGUACUGACGCUGAGACGCGAAAGCGUGGGGAGCAAACAGG
RNAcentral lists this ribosomal RNA (253 nucleotides) under uncultured bacterium. Its description in RNAcentral is "partial 16S ribosomal RNA". It matches the Rfam family "Bacterial small subunit ribosomal RNA", at positions 524 to 776 of the family's 1533-position model. The record is from RNAcentral.